AGUUUUGACAAGCCAGCUCGGAAAUCGGGAACGGUCGGAGGCUCGCUCACACUAUCCGUAUACCAUCUUGGCAUAAUGGCUUGUAUAUUUUGAAUCAUCUUCUCGUGGAACGUGUCAAGCCGGACCAACUAAAAGCUCACACUCUUCUAUCAUUGAACCGAUAGAUAUUUAAUCGUUUUGGACCCUUAAUGUUGUGGCAUGUGUCUAGGUGUUUUGAUGUGUAAAAAUUAUUAUGUUAUGAACUUGGAAUAUGUAAGCAGAUGCUGUCUUGAUAUAUGGUUUGAUAUGCUUGAUUUAGCAAUGGUUGAUACCUAAUGAAAUGGCAUGUUGUGGUUGACAUACUUUAGGAUAUAUGGGAUAAGAAAUGUCAUGUUCAUGAGUUGACUUGGUACAUGUAAUGUUAGUGAAUGGAUUGUUGAAUUGGUAUGCCCUAAUGGUAUUGAAAUGUUUAAACUUAGUUGAUGAUUUAGAAUUGAA
Long non-coding RNA from Gossypium arboreum, 477 nucleotides. RefSeq lists it as uncharacterized. The record is from RefSeq and is a predicted model, not a curated record. NCBI's taxonomy places the organism in Eukaryota, Viridiplantae, Streptophyta, Magnoliopsida, Malvales, Malvaceae. The transcript is spliced from 2 exons.